Molecule: non-coding RNA, 1376 nt
Organism: Plectropomus leopardus (leopard coralgrouper)
Lineage: Eukaryota; Metazoa; Chordata; Actinopteri; Perciformes; Serranidae
Source: RefSeq, a predicted model, not a curated record
UAAAAAAAAUUUUAAGGCCUUUUCUUAUUUGUAAAACACAUUUUAAUCAGGGGCUGGGCCAAAAAACACCACCGUUUAUUACUGUGAUGACAAAGUUAUGUAUUUGUGUUGAUUUCUCAUUAACUCUUGUUCUUUUAAUAAUAUUAAUAAUAAUAUUUAAAUUGAAAAAAUUAUAUAAUAGAUGCUAAUGGCGGCCUGACGCCGAAUGUUCUGGGUCCAGCACUGUUUUUGAAAGAUGAACUCUUUGUUUUCUCGCUCUUCCAACUUUAUAAGCGAUUACAACAGCUGCACAGCAAUGAAUAAAGUUAUAAACAAAUAAAGGUUUAGAAAUCUUAUCAGUUUGCUCUGACCUUCUGGAUCCUCCCUUUGGAGUAGAUUAUUUUUUUCAAAGGUCAUUUAUGAUGAAAUGCCUUUCAGAUGACACAGAUUUUGGUUAUGUUAAGAAAAUGACAGGGCAAAGACAUCUUUUUUAUCAUUAGAUUAACAGGUUUUGCCUCUUCAUGCUCACAGUGUCACCAGACUCACUGUUUUGCAUUUUUACAGCAACAAAAGGAAAUCACCACAUUCUUUCAGUUGUCUGUUUACAGCCCCCUCUCUCUCUUCCUUUAGUGAGCUCAGAUGACUCAAACCACGAGGUUUCCAUUCAUCCUCUUUAAUCACAUCCACUGAUGUCCGUUUAUCUGUCAUUUACGCACAGCUCUAUUCGCGCUAUUUUAGUCACUUUCACAACAGGCUGUAAAAAGACACUGAGACCAUAAUCGCUGCUGACCUAUGAAACACCAAACAGGAUUUUUUGCGGCUCUUAUCUGUAAUUAGUGCAGUUAGCAGCCCUGCGCCCCUCCCUCUUUCCGGGACGGCUGUGAGAGCGCAGCGCCGUCCUCUCCUGUCCGACACACGCAGACCUGAAGCGGACCACAGCGCGAUCAGCUCCCGCACCCUCGUUACACUUUGGAUGACCAUGCGGGGAAAUAAAUAUCAGAGUGGAGAGUUUGAUCAAGUGGCUGAUAGAUGACAGUCGUGCGUAAAAAAGUGGACAUAAAUGUCCACGCUUCCUUUUUCUCCUGACGUCGGGUGUGACUUGAUGAAACGGUUUGCACGGCGCUUGGUUGACCUGUACUCGCGCAUGGGGCAAUGUGAGUGUGUUUUCUGUCAUGUUAGGCUACAGCAGGGCCGUAACCACGGAGACAACAUUGGGGGUGGACCAGGUGUGUGUGUAGGGGGGUCUAAAGUUCAGCUAACAGCAUACUUUAUAAUGUUGCUAAGGAAAAAAAAGGCUCCUACGCAGGAGGUAGAAGUAUAUGGGCAACUUAACAGGACAUGGCCCAAAAAACUGAAAUAAAUCAGUAAAAAUACAUAAAAUUACUCAAAAAUUAUCU